CGCUCAUGCGCGAUUCAUUUGCAGUUUGGACGCAUAGGUGUGAACAUCUCCUGCCCUGACAGCAGCUGGGGGAGGACUAUCCUCCACCCGUGAGCGCUUUGGAACAGGCGAGGUGCCCACGGCAGCACCCGCUGCUUGUUGAGAGUAAAAACGAUACGCGCUUUCACGUCAAAAAGUCGUCAUAAAUAAGUCUCCACACCAGAAAAAGUCGCCAGAUUUGUCGCUAGUCGCUUUUUAGAAAAAAAGUCGCUAAGUUGGCAACACUGAGUGGACACGUAUUGGCAGCUGAGAUAAACAGCAGACGCAUAGCCUACCUUCUACCCUACAGCAGCCUCCAAUGAUGCACUUAAAUUGGGACGCAGGGGGAUGCCUGCACGACGACCUGUGACAUACUGAGAGCUGGGAAGUGGACAAAGAUGGAUGGAUGGACUGGGGAGGAGCGUGUCAUGCAUUGUCACUAUGUAUCAGAUCCUCAAAAACUUUGGUUCCCUCAGCAAACGCAGCAGGAAAUGCUCUCAAAAUGUGACUGUGCUCGGAUGGCUGAGCUGCUCUGUGCAGCCCAGAAUGAUGUGUGUGCAGUUUGACACCAGCGGGCUUCUGUCGCUGCUAAAGGCGCUUCCCUUCUGUCUGUUCCACCUGCUCGCCCGACUACCAUUGGACUCGGAGCCUUUAGUUGUUCUGAACAUUUUAUCAUGUUUAAUAUAUUUUUUGCUGCUAUUGCUCGUGUUUUUUGUAAGGUGACCUUGAGGGUCUGAAAGGCGCCUA
This is a long non-coding RNA of Oreochromis aureus, 765 nucleotides long. RefSeq lists it as uncharacterized. NCBI's taxonomy places the organism in Eukaryota, Metazoa, Chordata, Actinopteri, Cichliformes, Cichlidae. The transcript has 4 exons. The record is from RefSeq and is a predicted model, not a curated record.